This 444-nucleotide ribosomal RNA is filed under the name Caenophthalmus capensis. Its description in RNAcentral is "partial 16S ribosomal RNA". Lineage: Eukaryota; Metazoa; Arthropoda; Insecta; Diptera; Therevidae. The record is from RNAcentral.
AAAUGGCUGCAGUAUUUUAACUGUACAAAGGUAGCAUAAUCAUUAGUCUUUUAAUUGAAGGCUUGUAUGAAUGGUUGGACGAAAUAUUAACUGUUUCAUGAAAAAUUAUUUUAGAAUUUUAUUUUUUAGUUAAAAAGCUAAAAUUUACUUAAAAGACGAGAAGACCCUAUAGAUCUUUAUAUUUAAUGUAUUAUAGUUAUUUAGAUUAUUUAAAUUAUGAUUAUGUUAAUUAUUUUGUUGGGGUGACAUUAAAAUUUAAUUAACUUUUAAUUUUUAUUAUACAUUAAUUUAUGAAUUAUUGAUCCAUUAAUAAUGAUUAAAAAAUUAAGUUACCUUAGGGAUAACAGCGUAAUUUUUUUGAAGAGUUCAUAUCGAUAAAAAAGAUUGCGACCUCGAUGUUGGAUUAAGAUAUAAUUUUGGGUGCAGCAAUUCAAUUAUUAAGUC